CUGUGCAAAGGUAGCAUAAUCAUUAGCUUUUUAAUUGAAGGCUUGUAUGAAGGGUCUGACAAAGAAAAAGCUGUCUUUAAUUUUAUUUUUGAAAUUAACUUUUAAGUGAAAAGGCUUAAAUAAUUUUAAGGGACGAUAAGACCCUAUAAAUCUUUAUAUUAAAUUUUAGCUUAAAUAUUAAUUAGUUUGUUUAUAUUUUUUUUAAAGUUAAAAUAAAUAUUUUGUUGGGGUGACAAGAAUAUAAUAAUUAACUGUUCUUUUAUAAAACAAAGUUGUUUGUAAAAUAAAAUAAAGAUCCUUUAUUAAAGAUUAAAAGUUUAAGUUACUUUAGGGAUAACAGCGUUAUUUUUUUUGAGAGUUCAUAUCGAAAAAAAAGUUUGCGACCUCGAUGUUGAAUUAAAAUUUCUCUAUGGUGUAGAAGUUAUAGAAGAGAGUCUGUUCGACUUUUGAAAUUUU
This 456-nucleotide ribosomal RNA is filed under the name Paramunida mozambica. RNAcentral's name for it is "partial 16S ribosomal RNA". It matches the Rfam family "Bacterial large subunit ribosomal RNA", at positions 1946 to 2597 of the family's 2925-position model. The record is from RNAcentral. Lineage: Eukaryota; Metazoa; Arthropoda; Malacostraca; Decapoda; Munididae.